Molecule: non-coding RNA, 104 nt
Filed under: human gut metagenome
Description: yjdF RNA
Rfam family: azaaromatic riboswitch aptamer (yjdF RNA)
Source: RNAcentral
GCAAAGAUAAAAACACGGCCCGGUCGGUAGUCCGGGCGCGGCGGCCGUAAAAGUGCGGCCGCUGUCAGUAGCCUUCCUCCUUGGUCGUCCGUUCUUUGUUCAUU